UUUUUCUAUACUGUGUCUGUACUGAGUAUGUAUAUGAUAAAGAUGUCGACUUUAUCGCAACUAGCAACUACUGGCUCUGCUCUGUAAACUAUUUCAGUAAUUCCUACUUAUGGACUACGCCGUUCAAUUCUAUCCCUUAGCAGCUCCAUUCUUAUACAACCCAGUGGAAUUCUUAUUACCUUCCUGAGAGCUCCCAAAAACAGGACUCAAAAGAAGGAGUGCAAUUCUGAUCAAGUGGUUUCGGUCCUCAGGCCGUUGAUUGGUGUUUCAGUCUGCCUAUGCCCUGUUUCAGGCUGGUUGUUAGUUGUUGCAGGCUUGUCCUUGCCAGCUCCAUUCCUUCCCUAGGGCUUCUAUCUUUCUCAACAUUCUCCUAUAUGAAGUUCCAUUGGGUUUCAUAUACUGUGUCGGUAUAGCGUCAAGAUAACUCGUUUAUCACCUGUUUUUCAGGGGACUUAAGUGAUUCUUAAAGUGUUGAGUCCACUCUCUUUCCAUUCUUAUUGUAUGUAUGCCUA
RNAcentral lists this long non-coding RNA (512 nucleotides) under Musa acuminata (dwarf banana). RNAcentral's name for it is "long non-coding RNA (MACU_LNC009400)". Lineage: Eukaryota; Viridiplantae; Streptophyta; Magnoliopsida; Zingiberales; Musaceae. The record is from RNAcentral.